This 234-nucleotide ribosomal RNA is filed under the name uncultured Actinomycetales bacterium. RNAcentral's name for it is "partial 16S ribosomal RNA". It matches the Rfam family "Bacterial small subunit ribosomal RNA", at positions 97 to 334 of the family's 1533-position model. Lineage: Bacteria; Bacillati; Actinomycetota; Actinomycetes; Actinomycetales. The record is from RNAcentral.
GGCGAACGGGUGAGUAACACGUGGGUGAUCUGCCCUGCACUUCGGGAUAAGCCUGGGAAACUGGGUCUAAUACCGGAUAGGACAGCUGUUUAGUGUCAGUUGUGGAAAGUUUUUUCGGUGCAAGAUGAGCUCGCGGCCUAUCAGCUUGUUGGUGGGGUAAUGGCCUACCAAGGCGACGACGGGUAGCCGGCCUGAGAGGGUGACCGGCCACACUGGGACUGAGACACGGCCCAG